RNAcentral lists this ribosomal RNA (431 nucleotides) under uncultured Bacillus sp. RNAcentral's name for it is "bacterial SSU rRNA". It matches the Rfam family "Bacterial small subunit ribosomal RNA", at positions 487 to 916 of the family's 1533-position model. The record is from RNAcentral. Lineage: Bacteria; Bacillati; Bacillota; Bacilli; Caryophanales; Bacillaceae.
AAAGCCACGGCUAACUACGUGCCAGCAGCCGCGGUAAUACGUAGGUGGCAAGCGUUGUCCGGAAUUAUUGGGCGUAAAGCGCGCGCAGGUGGUCCUUUAAGUCUGAUGUGAAAGCCCACGGCUCAACCGUGGAGGGUCAUUGGAAACUGGGGGACUUGAGUGCAGAAGAGGAAAGUGGAAUUCCAAGUGUAGCGGUGAAAUGCGUAGAGAUUUGGAGGAACACCAGUGGCGAAGGCGACUUUCUGGUCUGUAACUGACACUGAGGCGCGAAAGCGUGGGGAGCAAACAGGAUUAGAUACCCUGGUAGUCCACGCCCUAAACGAUGAGUGCUAAGUGUUAGAGGGUUUCCGCCCUUUAGUGCUGCAGCUAACGCAUUAAGCACUCCGCCCGGGGAGUACGGUCGCAAGACUGAAACUCAAAGGAAUUGACGG